Molecule: transfer RNA, 72 nt
Filed under: Camelus bactrianus (Bactrian camel)
Lineage: Eukaryota; Metazoa; Chordata; Mammalia; Artiodactyla; Camelidae
Also listed under: 3 other names
Rfam family: tRNA
About the family: Transfer RNA (tRNA) molecules are approximately 80 nucleotides in length. Their secondary structure includes four short double-helical elements and three loops (D, anti-codon, and T loops).
Source: Rfam by way of RNAcentral
GAGGGUAUAGCUCAGUGGUAGAGCAUGUGCUUAGCAUGCACAAGGUCCUGGGUUCAAUCCCCAGUACCUCUG